GGGCAUACAGUAGAUAAAACGGUAUUUUGUUUUUAGAAUGCAUGAAGCGGCGAUGAGAGACCUUUCUCUUUAGGGUUUAGGCGUUAAUUAAGUUCACGGCCACACGCUCCUUUUCUCUGUUUCCGAGGCAGGUUAUGGCUGUUCGUUCUGUGCUUGGAAAGCUGGGUAGGAGUAGAUUUAUUCCCAACAAUGGAAGACUUAUCAUGGUUGGGAGUUCUCCUACUGUUUGUUCCUCUCCUCAUCACCCUUUUGAUUAUUAUGGGGUUGUCCAUGAUCAAAACAAAGCGGAUAAAAAAAGCAACCCUUUUCUUCUUGGAUCGCUUAUGAAAGAGCCAGUUUAUUGUCAUUUGGAUUUUGGAGGACUAGG
Molecule: non-coding RNA, 367 nt
Organism: Prunus mume (Japanese apricot)
Lineage: Eukaryota; Viridiplantae; Streptophyta; Magnoliopsida; Rosales; Rosaceae
Source: RefSeq, a predicted model, not a curated record